UACGGAGGCCCCAAGCGUUGUUCGGAUUUAUUGGGCGUAAAGGGUGCGUAGGCGGUUUGGUAAGUCUGGUGUGAAAGGCAGGGGCUUAACUCCUGGACUGCAUUGGAUACUGCCGAACUGGAGGACUGGAGAGGAGAAUGGAAUUCACGGUGGAGCAGUGAAAUGCGUAGAUAUCGUGAGGAAGGCCAGUGGCGAAGGCGAUUCUCUGGACAGUACCUGACGCUGAGGCACGAAGGCUGGGGGAGCGAACAGG
Molecule: ribosomal RNA, 253 nt
Filed under: uncultured bacterium
Lineage: Bacteria
Description: partial 16S ribosomal RNA
Rfam family: Bacterial small subunit ribosomal RNA
Source: RNAcentral